Long non-coding RNA from Ahaetulla prasina, 659 nucleotides. RefSeq lists it as uncharacterized. The record is from RefSeq and is a predicted model, not a curated record. NCBI's taxonomy places the organism in Eukaryota, Metazoa, Chordata, Lepidosauria, Squamata, Colubridae. The transcript is spliced from 3 exons.
AAAAACAACAGCCAUAGAGGGGUUAUAAACCACAUUUCUGAUUGUUAAGCAGACAAAGUAAGCAGGAACUGCAGCCAACGUAGCAGGUUGAUGGCACUACAUAUAAUGAACCCAACAAGGAAAGCAUAGGAAUGCUUUAAACUCUUGGAUUGUCCCUCAGGCACUGGCGUUAAGAUAUUAGAAUUUGCUAGCUAAGGAGCAAAACGUGCACAGACGUAUUUCGCAUCAUUCACAAUGACAGAGUAUCUUUUGCCAGAAGGAUGACUAUUGCAUUGCAAUCAACCUCACCAUUACCUUCUGUUUUACUGGAAACAUCCAGAACAGUCAGAUGACAGUCAUCAUGGAAGACUUGAGGAUGGUGGUCUAGUCUAACCCUAAGAAAGAUUUGAUUUGAUUUGAUCUUGGGGUCUUUCAGAGUACUAAUAGUGUUUAUGGCAUGGCUAGAUUAAAGUCUUCAAGCAUCUAGUUGCUCAUGUUACCCUACUACAAGGAAAGAAAUUCUGAAGCUGCAAGGUUAGAAUUACAGUAGGAAGUUGGAAUGUAAGAGAAUGAACACAGGAAAGUUCAAUACAGUGGAAAAUGAAAUGAAACAUCUACAAACUGACAGCAUCGCUGAAUUGUAUGGAUUUGGAUCAGACACUUUCAGUCAGAAGAUCUUC